Molecule: long non-coding RNA, 654 nt
Organism: Lactuca sativa (garden lettuce)
Lineage: Eukaryota; Viridiplantae; Streptophyta; Magnoliopsida; Asterales; Asteraceae
Source: RefSeq, a predicted model, not a curated record
AUCCCGGAAAUUCAGAAGUAUAGUUGAAGGGCUAAAGUGUAAAUAAGAAGGUCGACUCGGCGAGUCAAUGGGUAGACUCGGCGAGUCGAGUCGCGAUUUGGUCAUGUGCUAAGUGACUGACUCGGCGAGUCGGCGGCUAGACUCGGCGAGUCAAUGCUGGAAUGAGAAAACCCUAAUCGUGGGAGUUGUGCCCUAUAUAAAGAACAUAACACUUUUUCCCCAGCCUCUUUACCUUCCUUUUGAGUUCCAGAAACCCUAGAUUCGUGUGAGCUUUCCUUGGUGAGAGAUUAGAGCCUUGGAGGAGGGAAUUUUGGAAGGAAAUUGAAGAGCAAGAAGAUUGGAGCAAGGGGCUUUGCAGAGAUUUGGUUCAUUCUUCAGUUGGAGCUUUCUUUUGAGUGAUUUGGUGUUGGCUAGUGGUGGAGAUCGUGUCAGUGGUCGGAGCAGCUUGGUCUUAUCUUUUCAGUCGGCAGUUGCAGGUACUUCAGGAGACCGUGGCAAGGCAAAGGCGUGAUCGUACCGCUCCUCGUGUUUAUGUUUUAUGAUAUGGAUCUGGGAAAAAUACUCUAAUAAUAAAAGUAUUGAAAGCCUUUUUGUAAUGAAUUAAUGAAAGUGAGUUGUUUUUGAAAAGUUUAAAUUGGUUUGAAUUUUUACGGU